This 464-nucleotide ribosomal RNA is filed under the name Vreelandella stevensii. Its description in RNAcentral is "partial 16S ribosomal RNA". It matches the Rfam family "Bacterial small subunit ribosomal RNA", at positions 339 to 795 of the family's 1533-position model. Lineage: Bacteria; Pseudomonadati; Pseudomonadota; Gammaproteobacteria; Oceanospirillales; Halomonadaceae. The record is from RNAcentral.
CCUCGGGUGGCUGCAGUGGGGAAUAUUGGACAAUGGGCGAAAGCCUGAUCCAGCCAUGCCGCGUGUGUGAAGAAGGCCUUCGGGUUGUAAAGCACUUUCAGUGGGGAAGAAAGCCUUGGGGCUAAUACCCUCGAGGAAGGACAUCACCCACAGAAGAAGCACCGGCUAACUCCGUGCCAGCAGCCGCGGUAAUACGGAGGGUGCGAGCGUUAAUCGGAAUUACUGGGCGUAAAGCGCGCGUAGGCGGUCUGAUAAGCCGGUUGUGAAAGCCCCGGGCUCAACCUGGGAACGGCAUCCGGAACUGUCAGGCUAGAGUGCAGGAGAGGAAGGUAGAAUUCCCGGUGUAGCGGUGAAAUGCGUAGAGAUCGGGAGGAAUACCAGUGGCGAAGGCGGCCUUCUGGACUGACACUGACGCUGAGGUGCGAAAGCGUGGGUAGCAAACAGGAUUAGAUACCCUGGUAGUC